This 429-nucleotide ribosomal RNA is filed under the name Bacillota bacterium. Its description in RNAcentral is "Firmicutes bacterium partial 16S ribosomal RNA". It matches the Rfam family "Bacterial small subunit ribosomal RNA", at positions 355 to 776 of the family's 1533-position model. The record is from RNAcentral. Lineage: Bacteria; Bacillati; Bacillota.
UAGGGAAUCUUCGGCAAUGGACGGAAGUCUGACCGAGCAACGCCGCGUGAGUGAAGAAGGUUUUCGGAUCGUAAAGCUCUGUUGUUAGAGAAGAACGUUGGUAGGAGUGGAAAAUCUACCAAGUGACGGUAACUAACCAGAAAGGGACGGCUAACUACGUGCCAGCAGCCGCGGUAAUACGUAGGUCCCGAGCGUUGUCCGGAUUUAUUGGGCGUAGAGCGAGCGCAGGCGGUUCUUUAAGUCUGAAGUUAAAGGCAGUGGCUUAACCAUUGUACGCUUUGGAAACUGGAGGACUUGAGUGCAGAAGGGGAGAGUGGAAUUCCAUGUGUAGCGGUGAAAUGCGUAGAUAUAUGGAGGAACACCGGUGGCGAAAGCGGCUCUCUGGUCUGUAACUGACGCUGAGGCUCGAAAGCGUGGGGAGCAAACAGG